Non-coding RNA from Dryococelus australis, 69 nucleotides. The record is from the annotation of a GenBank genome assembly. NCBI's taxonomy places the organism in Eukaryota, Metazoa, Arthropoda, Insecta, Phasmatodea, Phasmatidae.
UAAAUAAUAUUAGUUGGUAGAGCAUGGGACUCUUAAUCUCGGGGUCGUAGGUUCGAACCCCACGUUGAA